GUAUUUUGUAUUAUAACAGAAUUUCAUAUCUGGGAAGCUGAAAGAGUCCAUUGCUCUCAAAGAAAGUCAGACAUGACAAACCAUUUCUGCUGGCGAUCGUCUGAAAGAGCACAACAAUGGGCUCAAAUCUUAAAAACAGUUAAAGAUCUUGGGACAAGAACACCAGAAGAGAUGAUCAUCCCUGGUAGUUUCUGUCUGAAGUUGGGCAAAAAUCUUCUGAUUUUCCUUCAAAGAAUUUGGGAGUAUUUUGUAACACUCAGGGUACUUAGUUUCCCUGAUGCCUUACUUCCCUAUCCAUGUUAAACUUUUCUUUCAGGAAAUCAUUCAUUCAUUCAUUCAUUCAUUCAGUGUGUCAAGUGCUAGAGCUGCUGGAAGAUGGAUGACUUGAUCCCUACCUUCGUGCAUCCCUGAACUAACGAAGGCAAGUUGAUAAGUGUCAUAACAUAAUCAAGGUCUGAGCUGGAAUAACUGAAGGGCAUUUCAUCGUGCCUGCUGGCCUUAGGCUCAGCAUCCAAGGUCCCCUUGGUUUUUCUUCCUGGAAUGUUUUCUGUUCCAGUGGCCAUAAGAGCUAUGUUGGGAGAGAGAGCCAUGGAGGUCCCUCCAAGCUCAUCCAGGCUGCAGCCAGCUCCAGGAACAGGUAAUGAAAGAGUUGCUGAAGUUUCUCCAUCAUCAGUCAGUUGUCUUAAGACCCACAGAGUAGUGCUGGCCUGUGCUGGUGAAGUGCAGAGAAGCCACCUGCCGAACAAGACUGAGUGUGACUGUGAGCCUGAACAACAUGAUGACUUGAACACUGUUGACACCGGCCUUCCUGUAAGCUUCGAUGAAGUAGACACUACUGCCUCUGCUGCAUUCCAGGAGCCUUAGGAUGCAGCUACCGGCCCUUUCCACAUUACUCCAGAAGCCAGGGUGGGAUACCUGGGAGGCGAUGGAACCAGCUACACAGGAGUAACUAGAGGAGUGUGCAUCCCCUUUCUGAGGUUUCACGGCCGACUUUGUUCAUCGCCAACUCCGUGUGCGUCACCCUCCUCCCCGUUUCGCGCAGGGCAGCAGCAUACCUAUUUUCUUCUUUAGCCUCUCUUCCUAGCCGUGGCUGAUAACAAAGCCAGAGCCAGGCAGGUGUGGACUCAAGUUGUCUUGGGAUUAUGAAGAAAGACGGAUGGAUGGAUGUACAGAUAGAUAGAUUAGAUUGGUUAAAUGAUAAAAUACUAAAUGUCUGUACCCUUCCCCUCCCUUUCCAUGUAUUAAAGCCAAGAGCCUAAUGUGUUGGUAUUUGGAGGAGGGGUCUUUUGGAGGUGACUAGAUUUAGAUGUAGGUCAGUCCACGAUGGGAUGGGCAUUGUCAUGGAAGAUGUGGCUUGCUCCUCUG
Long non-coding RNA from Mesocricetus auratus (golden hamster), 1365 nucleotides. RefSeq lists it as uncharacterized. The record is from RefSeq and is a predicted model, not a curated record. Lineage: Eukaryota; Metazoa; Chordata; Mammalia; Rodentia; Cricetidae. The transcript has 3 exons.